GACGGACGCUGGCGGCGUGCUUAACACAUGCGAGUCGAACGGAAAGGCCCUGCUUUUGUGGGGUGCUCGAGUGGCGAACGGGUGAGUAACACGUGAGUAACCUGCCCUUGACUUUGGGAUAACUUCAGGAAACUGGGGCUAAUACCGGAUAGGAGCUCCUGCUGCAUGGUGGGGGUUGGAAAGUUUCGGCGGUUGGGGAUGGACUCGCGGCUUAUCAGCUUGUUGGUGGGGUAGUGGCUUACCAAGGCUUUGACGGGUAGCCGGCCUGAGAGGGUGACCGGCCACAUUGGGACUGAGAUACGGCCCAGACUCCUACGGGAGGCAGCAGUGGGGAAUAUUGCACAAUGGGCGGAAGCCUGAUGCAGCAACGCCGCGUGCGGGAUGACGGCCUUCGGGUUGUAAACCGCUUUCGCCUGUGACGAAGCGUGAGUGACGGUAAUGGGUAAAGAAGCACCGGCUAACUACGUG
This 468-nucleotide ribosomal RNA is filed under the name uncultured bacterium. RNAcentral's name for it is "partial 16S ribosomal RNA". It matches the Rfam family "Bacterial small subunit ribosomal RNA", at positions 28 to 507 of the family's 1533-position model. The record is from RNAcentral.